GACGAACGCUGGCGGCGUGCCUAAUACAUGCAAGUAGAACGCUGAAGGAGGAGCUUGCUCUUCUGGAUGAGUUGCGAACGGGUGAGUAACGCGUAGGUAACCUGCCUGGUAGCGGGGGAUAACUAUUGGAAACGAUAGCUAAUACCGCAUAACAGUAGAUGUUGCAUGACAUUUGCUUAAAAGGUGCAAUUGCAUCACUACCAGAUGGACCUGCGUUGUAUUAGCUAGUUGGUGGGGUAACGGCUCACCAAGGCGACGAUACAUAGCCGACCUGAGAGGGUGAUCGGCCACACUGGGACUGAGACACGGCCCAGACUCCUACGGGAGGCAGCAGUAGGGAAUCUUCGGCAAUGGACGGAAGUCUGACCGAGCAACGCCGCGUGAGUGAAGAAGGUUUUCGGAUCGUAGAGCUCUGUUGUAAGAGAAGAACGAGUGUGAGAGUGGAAAGUUCACACUGUGACGGUAUCUUACCAGAAAGGGACGGCUAACUACGUG
This 495-nucleotide ribosomal RNA is filed under the name uncultured bacterium. Its description in RNAcentral is "partial 16S ribosomal RNA". It matches the Rfam family "Bacterial small subunit ribosomal RNA", at positions 28 to 507 of the family's 1533-position model. The record is from RNAcentral.